GAUGAACGCUGGCGGCGUGCCUAAUACAUGCAAGUCGAGCGAACAGACGAGGAGCUUGCUCCUCUGACGUUAGCGGCGGACGGGUGAGUAACACGUGGAUAACCUACCUAUAAGACUGGGAUAACUUCGGGAAACCGGAGCUAAUACCGGAUAAUAUAUUGAACCGCAUGGUUCAAUAGUGAAAGACGGUUUUGCUGUCACUUAUAGAUGGAUCCGCGCCGCAUUAGCUAGUUGGUAAGGUAACGGCUUACCAAGGCAACGAUGCGUAGCCGACCUGAGAGGGUGAUCGGCCACCCUGGAACUGAGACACGGUCCAGACUCCUACGGGAGGCAGCAGUAGGGAAUCUUCCGCAAUGGGCGAAAGCCUGACGGAGCAACGCCGCGUGAGUGAUGAAGGUCUUCGGAUCGCAAACCUCUGUUAUUAGGGAAGAACAAAUGUGUAAGUAACUAUGCACGUCUUGACGGUACCUAAUCAGAAAGCCACGGCUAACUACGUG
RNAcentral lists this ribosomal RNA (497 nucleotides) under uncultured bacterium. RNAcentral describes it as "partial 16S ribosomal RNA". It matches the Rfam family "Bacterial small subunit ribosomal RNA", at positions 28 to 507 of the family's 1533-position model. The record is from RNAcentral.